CGGCACAGCUUGUGUACCCCUGGCAGCCACCCUGGCUUCCCUGGAGCGACCUGCCCCUCCAGCGGCCCUCCUGACGGCUCGGGGCUUUCCACCUUGCUGGCCUGAGUCGCGUCGUAAGCAAUUGUGUCUGAAUACGUUUUUGGUUUUUUGUCUUUUCCCCCCAACUAAUUUUUAGUUGGAUGCUGAUAACUAUGAGACUGAUCCGUGUCUGAAGGAGAUUCGGAGAGCAGAAAAUUAUUCUUGGAUGGAUAUAAUAACCAUACAUAAAGACAAGCUUCCAAAUUACGAGGAAAAGAUAAAGACAUUUUAUGAAGAACAUUUACACCUAGACGAUGAAAUUCGCUACAUCUUAGAUGGAUCUGGCUAUUUUGAUGUUCGAGACAAGGAUGACAAAUGGAUUCGGAUUUCCAUGGAAAAAGGAGACAUGAUAACCCUCCCUGCUGGCAUAUAUCACCGAUUUACACUGGAUGAGAACAAUUACGUGAAGGCAAUGAGGCUAUUCGUUGGAGAACCCGUCUGGACAGCAUACAACAGGCCGGCUGAUGAUCUUCCUGCUCGGAAACAAUAUAUGAAGUUUUUGGCUGAAGAAGCACAGUAAUGGUGCCUGAGACCUGACAGGUGGAACAGCCUGAAGCCCUGUCAGAAUAAAUCUCACUGAAGCCAACAUGAGACUCUUAAUUCCUCCUAUGGGUGUCUCCAUUUUCAUCUCUCUCUCUGCAAAAGGAGCAGUGGCGACAGCAACGUGGGCUUCCAGGAACCCCACUUACAGCUCAGCCAUCCUGUAACAGCCCGGGGGAGCGACUGGGAGGAGAGAGCUGGUAACUCAGUCUCCUCAGGAGAGAUUUGCAGUCGGGGGGCCGUGGUGAGGGAUGGCCAGUAAAGCGGCUGCCCGCAGCGAUCGCUUUCAACAGCUCGCUGAUGUAGGAUGCGACCUGGGAAGCAGGACUGAACCACCUUGUUUUGUUGCCUCUCUGGAGGAAUACCUGUACACGGCUCCCAUCCCCUGGCUGUCAAGAAUAACACACGAUCCCACCGCUGACGAUCGUUCAUCAUUUUCAUAGCACAAUGCAUUCUGCCGCUGAGAGGUGGCGGGGGCUGGGGGGGCCUUACUGUCAACGCUUUUGAGCCCGUGCCCUUUAGUGCUAUAGGUGUCUUUGAAAGGGUGAAAGCUUUGCUCUCCUAAAGUGCUUUUUGUCAGCCAGGAAAAAAGCAAUUUGGGGCUGGUAUAAAGAUUCUACACCUGUGAAGAGAUUACAUAGGAGAUUACACUGGGAGGAAACAGCUGGGCAGAAAAAAUGUUAAUAUUAAUAGAAAACACUCUAGAGAGUGGAGAGGAGGGAGGGAGAGCACACCGUUCCUUCAGAUGGAAAAUGCAGCUUAUUUUCAUGGUGAUUUUUUGUGUUUGUUUUUUUUCUUUUUUUCUUUUUUCCAUACACCACAUAUCUAAAAGUGCAAAGUGAAGUCGAUUUGUGGUCCAAAGACAUGAGUCUGUUUUCCUGCAGCUAGUGGAAAACCUUGGUGCAUUGAUGUAGUAUGAAAAUUUAUGUAAGUGGUUCCAGCAACAUCACGCUGGCAGCAUUAACUCAGGCAAGGGUUAGUAUUUCAACUCCUCCAGGAUGAGAACCUUUAAAAAAAAAAAAAAAAAAAAAAAA
Molecule: RNA transcript, 1652 nt
Organism: Egretta garzetta (little egret)
Lineage: Eukaryota; Metazoa; Chordata; Aves; Pelecaniformes; Ardeidae
Gene: ADI1
Gene name: acireductone dioxygenase 1
Exons: 4
Source: RefSeq, a predicted model, not a curated record